This 249-nucleotide ribosomal RNA is filed under the name uncultured bacterium. RNAcentral's name for it is "partial 16S ribosomal RNA". It matches the Rfam family "Bacterial small subunit ribosomal RNA", at positions 57 to 305 of the family's 1533-position model. The record is from RNAcentral.
GCAAGUCGAGGGGUAGCAGGGAGCUUGCUCCGCUGACGACUGGCGCACGGGUGAGUAACGCGUAUGCAAUCUACCUUUAACAGGAGGAUAGCCCCGAGAAAUCGGGAUUAAUACUCCAUAGUAAUCUAAAGUGGCAUCACUUAAGGUUUAAAGCUCCGGCGGUUAAAGAUGGGCAUGCGUGACAUUAGUUUGUUGGUGAGGUAACAGCUCACCAAGACUACGAUGUCUAGGGGUUCUGAGAGGAUGAUC